CUACGGGUGGCUGCAGUGGGGAAUAUUGCACAAUGGGCGCAAGCCUGAUGCAGCCAUGCCGCGUGUAUGAAGAAGGCCUUCGGGUUGUAAAGUACUUUCAGCGGGGAGGAAGGGAGUAAAGUUAAUACCUUUGCUCAUUGACGUUACCCGCAGAAGAAGCACCGGCUAACUCCGUGCCAGCAGCCGCGGUAAUACGGAGGGUGCAAGCGUUAAUCGGAAUUACUGGGCGUAAAGCGCACGCAGGCGGUUUGUUAAGUCAGAUGUGAAAUCCCCGGGCUCAACCUGGGAACUGCAUCUGAUACUGGCAAGCUUGAGUCUCGUAGAGGGGGGUAGAAUUCCAGGUGUAGCGGUGAAAUGCGUAGAGAUCUGGAGGAAUACCGGCGGCGAAGGCGGCCCCCUGGACGAAGACUGACGCUCAGGUGCGAAAGCGUGGGGAGCAAACAGGAUUAGAUACCUCGUAGUC
RNAcentral lists this ribosomal RNA (463 nucleotides) under uncultured bacterium. Its description in RNAcentral is "partial 16S ribosomal RNA". It matches the Rfam family "Bacterial small subunit ribosomal RNA", at positions 339 to 795 of the family's 1533-position model. The record is from RNAcentral.